CCUACGGGUGGCAGCAGUGAGGAAUAUUGGUCAAUGGCCGGGAGGCUGAACCAGCCAAGUCGCGUGAGGGAUGACUGCCCUAUGGGUUGUAAACCUCUUUUGUCUGGGAAUAAAAUGCUCCACGUGUGGGGUUCUGUAUGUACCCGAUGAAUAAGCAUCGGCUAACUCCGUGCCAGCAGCCGCGGUAAUACGGAGGAUGCGAGCGUUAUCCGGAUUUAUUGGGUUUAAAGGGUGCGGAGGCGGAUUGUUAAGGCAGUCGUGAAAUUUUGCGGCUCAACCCCAACAUGGCCGUGGAAACUGGGAGUCUUGAGUGCAGCAGAGGUGUGCGGAAUGCGUGGUGUAGCGGUGAAAUGCAUAGAUAUCGCGCAGAACUCCGAUUGCGAAGGCAGCGCACCGGACCGCAACUGACGCUGAGGCACGAAAGUGCGGGGAUCAAACAGGAUUAGAUACCCCUGUAGUC
This 460-nucleotide ribosomal RNA is filed under the name uncultured bacterium. Its description in RNAcentral is "partial 16S ribosomal RNA". It matches the Rfam family "Bacterial small subunit ribosomal RNA", at positions 338 to 795 of the family's 1533-position model. The record is from RNAcentral.